UCAAAUCUUCUUCAGAAGCACGUCAAGUACGUUUGGUCUCCGGAGUGUGAUAUUGCUUUCAACUCUUUGAAAGAGAAAUUGGUCACUGCUCCAGUUCUGACUCCGCCUGAUGAAACCAAGCCGUACGAGGUCUUUUGUGAUGCCUCUCUCCAAGGUCUCGGUGCUGUACUGAUGCAAGAGAAGAAAGUUGUUGCUUAUACUUCUCGCCAGUUGAAACCUAAUGAGAAGAACUACCCCACUCAUGAUCUCGAGUUGGCGGCAGUGGUACACGCUUUGUUAACUUGGAGACAUCUUCUAUUGGGAAGGAAAGUGGAUAUUUUCACUGAUCACAAGAGUCUCAAGUACAUCUUCACUCAGCCUAAUCUCAACCUCAGGCAGACUCGAUGGGUCGAAAUGAUUCAAGAGUAUAAUCCGAGUAUCGAGUAUACUCCAGGCAAGGCUAAUGUGAUUGCUGACGCUUUGAGCAGAAAAGCAUAUUGCAACAGUCUGAUUCUCAAACCUUACCAACCCGAGCUUUGUGAAGCUUUC
This 528-nucleotide ribosomal RNA is filed under the name Triticum aestivum (bread wheat). Its description in RNAcentral is "partial small subunit ribosomal RNA". Lineage: Eukaryota; Viridiplantae; Streptophyta; Magnoliopsida; Poales; Poaceae. The record is from RNAcentral.